UACGUAGGGUGCGAGCAUUGUCCGGAAUUAUUGGGCGUAAAGAGCUCGUAGGCGGCUUGUCGCGUCGGAUGUGAAAGCCCGGGGCUUAACCCCGGGUCUGCAUUCGAUACGGGCAGGCUAGAGUUCGGUAGGGGAGAUCGGAAUUCCUGGUGUAGCGGUGAAAUGCGCAGAUAUCAGGAGGAACACCGGUGGCGAAGGCGGAUCUCUGGGCCGAUACUGACGCUGAGGAGCGAAAGCGUGGGGAGCGAACAGG
This 253-nucleotide ribosomal RNA is filed under the name uncultured bacterium. Its description in RNAcentral is "partial 16S ribosomal RNA". It matches the Rfam family "Bacterial small subunit ribosomal RNA", at positions 524 to 776 of the family's 1533-position model. The record is from RNAcentral.